UCAAUUCUCGACGAAUAUCCUCAAACCAAUUUGGUGCUGGCACGUAACUCUCAGUUGUAGUAGGAUUGUUUUUUGACUGCUCAUUAAUCUCGUCAACAGGAUUUGGAGGCACAAUAAUGAAACCUAAUCCUCUCGGGUGUGGCUUAACCCAACCCAUACCUUGUACUUUUUUAUAACCGAGUGGUCAAUUGGGGCUAAAGGAGGUUGCCUUGCUUCCUCGGCUUCCCACUUUACUCCAACUUGUUGACACAGUCCAGUAAUCAAAAAUGGAUGAGGCAGUCCACCUGAAGUCCCUCCUUGAAUUGUUCUGUCGAUUGAAUCAUGUAUAAUCUGACCCACAUCUAUAGUUUUUCCUUUUGUAAUGCAGAAAAGCAACGCUGCCCGUUGAUUUAUGACAUCACUCAUAGGCCUACACGACAUCAACUUGGCACAAAUAAAGACAUGUCAUGCUCUCCCGUAACUACUCGGUGCGGAUGCAGGAAAAAGAACUGCUUCUUGCUGAUCCGGUAAUUUUCAUUUUGUUCCAGGUACACACAAUGCUUGAAUGAUCUCACUAUAGUUCAGCUCGUGCUCUAGAUAUUGCAUAUAGCCAUUACCAGGUAUUCUGUCCAAGCCGUAGUAAGCAUUUAUUGUCGUGAAACUGACCUCCACUAAUUUUUCGCGAACCCAAACCAUAUUACCGACAACAUCUUUUGCAUUGGCGUAGAAUUCCUUAACAAUUUUUAUGACCGACGGAUCCGAUUUAGAUGUAAAAUUCACCCAUCUUCUGCCUCUGGCUAUAAUCCACGCUCAGGAAUUAGCAUUUUACCAGAAAGCCAAUUGUGAUACCUUUCGGACACACUAGCACUUGUGAAUCUCUUUUUGUCAAACUUUGUUGAAGUGAGGAAAGGAAGUAUGAGUUUCACGUGGUGUACGAAGAGAAAAGAGAGGAGUUUUAGAUGAACUAGGAGAGAAAAUAGAGUUUGAUUUGGGUUGAAAGGAGUGAUUCCCGAUUAAGGCUUAAUUUUUUUUUAAAGUCUAGGCUGGAGCGCCUAGGCGCUUGAUUUUGUAUGGGAUUGACCGCCUAAGCGCUUGAAGACAGAACUUGUUGGUCAGGUAUAGCGACUAGGCGCUUGGAAUGGGCAUGGAGUGAGUGCUUAGAUGCUUGGGGAUUGCUGAGUGUUUUGCAUUUGAGCGCCUAGGCGCUUGUGCCUGACUUGGUGGAUUAUGUGCGUCUUCCAUGCUUCAAACCUGCAUAUCAAAGCUUUAAUUCUCAGUUUUUAGAUUACGAGUUAUACUAAAACCCUAAACUAAGAUAAAAUAUGAUUAAUUUCUUUUAUUUUAGUAUGUUAGUUUAGUUAACUAUAUAUUUUAUCUUAGUUUAGGGUUUUAGUAUAAGUUGUAAUCUCCUUGCAAACAAAAACUGAGAAUUGAAGCUUUGAUAUGUAGGUUGGAAGCAUGGAAGACGUACAAAAUCCACCAAGUCAGUCCCAAGGGCUUAGGCUCCCAAACCAUGCACAAAACAAACGACUAGGUGCUCAAAUGCAGAACACUCAACAUUCCCCAAAUGCCUAGGCGCUACACCUGACUAACAUGUUCUGUCUUCAAGCGCCUAGGCGGUCAAUCCCAUUCAAAAUCAAGCGCCAAGCUCCUGCUAAGACUUUGAAAAAAAAUUUAAGCCCUAAUCGGGUAUCACUCCUUUCGACCCAAAUCAAACUAUUUUCUCUCCUAGUUCAUCUAAAAUUCCUCUAUUUUAUCUUCCUACACCACGGAAACUCAUACUUCCCUUUCCUCACUGUUAGUGCGUCCGAAAGGUAUCAGAAUUGGCUUUCUGGUAAAACGCUAAUUCCUGAGCGUGGAUUAUUGCCAGAGGCAGAAGAUGGGGAGUUACUACAAAUGAUUGGAAGCAGAAGAUGGGUGAAUUUUACAGCUCAACCGGAUCCGUCGGUCAUAAAAAUUGUUAAGGAAUUGUACGCAAAUGCAAAAGAUGUUGUCAGUAACAUGGUUUUGGUUCGCGGAAAACUAGUGGAGGUCAGUUUCACGACAAUAAAUGCUUACUACGGUUUGGACAGAAUACCUAGAAAUGGCUACAUGCAAUAUCUAGAGCACGAGCUGAAUUAUAGUGAGGUCAUUCAAGCAUUGUGAGUACCUGGAACAAAAUGGAAAUUAACAGAUCAGCAAGAAGCAGUUCUUUUUCCUGCAUCCGCACUAAGUAGUUACGGGAAAGCAUGGCAUGUCUUUAUUUGUGCCAAGUUGAUGUCGUGUAGGCAUAUGAGUGAUGUCAUAAAUCAACGUGCAGCGUUGCUUUUCGCCAUUGCAAAAGGAAAAACUAUAGAUGUGGGUCAGGUUAUACAUGAUUCAAUCGACAGAGCAAUUCAAGGAGGGACUUUAGGUGUACUGCCUCAUCCAUCUUUGAUUAUUGGACUGUCAACAAGUUGGAGUAAAGUGGGAAGCCAAGGAAGAAAGACAACCUCCUUUAGCCUCAAUUGACCAUUCGGUUAUAAAAAAGUACAAGGUAUGUGUUGGGGGUAAACCACACCCAAGAGGAUUAGGUUUCAUUAUUGUGCCUCCAGAUCCUGUUGACGAGCCUAAUGAACAGUCAAAUGACAAUCCUACUGCAGUUGAGAGUUACGUGCCAACACCAAAUUUUUUGAGGAUAUUCGUCGAGAAUUGAGACAUCAAACUAGACGGAUUGACAUGGUGGCUACCCAAAUUCAACAGGGUUUUGACCGGGUGGAUAGGAAGCAGAAUAGACUGGCUCAGCGACAAGCGGAGAUAUAUCAGAACUGUAAUGCAUCAUUCAUAGAGAUGUUCAACCGCAUGAAUCCAGCAGGCGCUCCUUUCCAAUUCUGACCAGCUCCACCCUUGUCUGUGUACCCUGACUGACUUAUCCCUGUGAGGAUAAGGUUGAUGAAGAAAAAGCAGAGGAUGUUGACAAGGAGUAAGGCUUCGAUCUUUCAGGGAAGUCCUCAGUACCUAAUUUCUUAUGUUUUUUUUAUAUACAAUGAGGACAUUGCAUAGGUUAAGUUUGGGGGUGCAUUCUUCUAGUUGUAUUGCAAUCAUUUAGUAUUUGCAUUCGUUUAUCAUAACUCAUUCAUCUUGUAGUUUUGCAUGUAGUAGUCAUUCUAAUUUCUAAAAAAAAUGCAUGAAUCCGAGCAUGUCAAUUAGUGCGAGUUUGACUUGGUCAAUGAUGAGAUUGGGAUCGCGUAUACAUUUGAACAGUAUUACAACUGAGACAUGAAUGUAGUGUCGUAUCAUGAUGUAAAUCUUAUCCUGUUUGAAACUGAUGUAACAAGAUAGCACGUUAGGUUGAUCAAAUUAGUUUAAAUGAUCGCAUAAUUGUUUCUUGGGGGAAGUCUUGGUUUUAAUGGAGGGAAAUCGGUAAACUUGUAGUAAAAGCUAGGAUGACGCAAAAAUUUAAGUUUGGGGGAAAAUAUGAGAUUUUUAAAUUAAAAAAAACAUAAAUAAAAAAUUCAAGAAAAAAAUCCAUCUGAAUAAACACGUUGACUGGUUUAGUUCUGUGUCCUUUGUUACUGGAGUAAGUAAGCCCUUAAGGGUGUCUCUACACCCAGCGCCCUAAAACCAUCUGGUUUGAGAGUCGUUGGUCGAAAGCUCGUUACAUAGGUAAUAUUGAAAAGCCUAAGAGAACUAGACAUUGCACGGUCAAGUGUAAACACGAGAAAGAGCAUAAAUGCCCUCGUGAGCAAAGAAAAGAAGAAAUAAAUCCCGUAUUGACUCUGAAUUUGGUGAUCGAGUAGUUUUAGUUGGAGCUUAACUUGUGAACGGAGUUUUUUAAGUUAAAAUUGUGUUUUUUUCUCUAAGAAGCAUAUUAUGUGAUGUAUUUGAACUGUAGUUUAUUUUAAUGGUUGCUAAGCACACACACCCUGCAUCAGUAAUAACAGGCUUUGAUUUAUGGAUUGGUAUGGGUUAUUGAAUUGUCUUGUUUGGAUGUGUUGUUUGAAUCUAUUGUUGAUACCUCCGAGGCAUAUUUGUUUGAUUUCGUACUGACUGAUGGCUGAAUUUGUAGGCAUAUAGUUAAGAUGCAUUUUUUAUUUGCAUUGCUUGGGGACAAGCAGUUGGUUAAGUUUCGGGGUAUUUGAUGAGUAGGUUUUAUACCUAUGAAUCCGAUAUUAUUAAACUUAAUUAUUGAUAUAUUUAAGUGUUUAGUAUCUCUUUGUUUUUUGUGUUUAUUUCUUGUAGGUUGGAGGGACAAAUUGGUCAUUUGGAAGAAGAAAAAGAUCAAAAAUCAUUAAAAUUAGAGCUGAGUGGCAUUUUUGUAAAUACAUGGUCCUGACCAAGCUCCUAGAUGCUUGGAUUUGUACUAGGUUGAGCGCCUAGGCGCUCAUGCAUGAUCAAAGUUGGAUUUUAAAUGCAAGAUAUAAUAAAUAAUUCAAUAAAAAUCAACUUUCAUUCAAUGGGAAGGUUUAAUUUAAACUAUAUACCAAGUUUCGUUGCAAUCUUAAUUAAAGUAUAGUUCAUGAUAAUAAAGGAAAACAUUAUCCAAAUUAAUAAUCCAGACGUCCCAGUUAAUUACAAAAAUAAAAUUAGAGAAAAGAUUAGAAGAACUUGUGAGAUUGCUCCUAAUCCUCCACUUGAUCUUUAGCCUCUGCAAUAUCCUUCGUGUUCUCCUCGUUGGUCUCUUUGCAAAUCUCUUAAUAAUCUCCUCCCUAAAGUCUUUUCCUAUUUUUAUUGGUCCCAACCCUCAUCAAGAUUCUUAAUUGGCUUCAAAAAUAACUCAGCACUAGAAAAAUCCAAUUUUGAUCGUCCAUGAGCGCCUAGGCGCUCAACCUAGUACAAAUCCAAGCGCCCACCACGUAUUUACAAAAAUGCCACUCGGCUCUAAUUUUAAUGAUUUUUGAUGUUUUUUCUUUCAAAUGACCAAUUUGUCCCUCUAACUCCAACCUUCAAGAAAUAAACUCAAAAACACAUAAAAAGAUACUAAAAACACUUAAAGAUGGCAAUAAUUAAGUUUAAUAAUAUCGGAUUCAUAGGUAUAAAGUCUACUCAUCAAAUACCCCACACUUAAUCAAUUCCUUGUCCCCAAGCAAUGCAAAAAAAAAAUGCAUCUCGGAUGUAUCAACAAUAGAUUCAAACAAUACAUCCAAACAAGACAAUUCAAUAACCCAUACCAAUCCAUAAAUCAAAUCUUGUUAUUACUGAUGCAGGGUGUGUGUGCUUAGCAACCAUUAAAAUCAACUAUAGUUUAAAUACAUUGCAUAAUAUGUUUCUUAGAGGAAAAGACACAGUUUUAACUUAGGAAACUCCGUUCACAAACUAAGCUCCAACUAAAUUUACACAAUAACCAAAUUCAGAGUCAAUAUGGGAUUUAUUUCUUUUAUUUGCUCACGAGGGCAUUUAUGAUCUUUCUUGUGUUUACACUUGACUGUGCAAUGUCUAGUUCUCUUAGGCUUUUCAAUGUUACCCAUGUAACGAGCUUUCGACUAAUGACUCCCAAAACAGAUGGCUUUAGGGGUCUAAGGGUAGAGACACCCCUAAGGGCUUACUUACUCCAGUAACAAAGGCCACAAAACUAAACUAGUCAACAUGUUUAUUCAUAUGAUUUUUUUUUUGUAUUUUCUAUUUUUUUUCUUACUUAAAAAUCCCAUAUUUUCCCCCAUACUUGAUUUUUUGCGUCAUCGUAACUUUUACUACAAGUUUACCGAUUUUUCUUCAUUAAAACCAAGAUUUCCCGAAGAAGACAAUUUUGCGAUCAUUUAAACUAAGUUUAUCAAAAUGAUAAACCUAACGUGCUAUCUUGUUACAUCAGUUUCAAACAUGAUAAGAUUUACAUAAUGAUACGACACUACAUUCAUGUCUCAGUUGUAAUACUGUUCAAAUGUAUACGCGAUCCCAAUCUCAUCAUGGGCCAAGUCAAACUCGCAGUAAUUGACAUGUUCGGAUUCAUGCAUUUUUUUUAGAAAUUAGAAUGACAACUACAUGCAAAACUACAAGAUGAAUGAGUUAUGCUACACGAAUGCAAAUACUAAAUGAAUGCAACUAAAUGAUUGGAAUACAACUAGAAGAAUGCACCCCCAAACUUAACAUAUGCAAUGUCCUCAUUGUAUAUAAUAAAAACCAUAAGAAUUUAGGUACUGAGGACUUCCUUGAAAGAUCGAAGCCUUACUCCUCGUCAACAUCCUCUGCUAAUUCUUCAUCAACCUCAUCCUCAGGGGGUAAGUCACUCGGGGGUACACAGACAAGGGUGGAGGUGGUCGGAAUUGGUAAGGAGCACCUGCUGGAUUCAUGCGGUUGAACAUCUCUAUGAAUGAUGCAGUAUAGUUCUGAUAUAUCUCCGCUUGUCGUUAAGCCAAUCUAUUCUGUUUCCUAUCCACCCGGUCAAAACCCUGUUCAAUUUGGGUAGCCACCAUGUCAAUCCGUCUAGUUUGAUGUCUCAAUUCUCGACGAAUAUCCUCAAACCAAUUUGGUGCUGGCACGUAACUCUCAGUUGUAGUAGGAUUGUUUUUUGACUGCUCAUUAAUCUCGUCAACAGGAUUUGGAGGCACAAUAUUGAAACCUAAUCCUCUCGGGUGUGGCUUAACCCAACCCAUACCUUGUACUUUUUUAUAACCGAGUGGUCAAUUGGGGCUAAAGGAGGUUGUCUUGCUUCCUCGGCUUCCCACUUUACUCCAACUUGUUGACACAGUCCAAUAAUCAAAAAUGGAUGAGACAGUCCACCUGAAGCCCCUCCUUGAAUUGUUCUGUCGAUUGAAUCAUGUAUAACCUGACCCACAUCUAUAGUUUUUCCUUUUGAAAUGUAGAAAAGCAACGCUGCCCGUUGAUUUAUGACAUCACUCAUAGGCCUACACGACAAUAACUUGGCGCAAAUAAAGACAUGUCAUGCUUUCCCGUAACUACUCGUUGCGGAUGCAGGAAAAAGAACUGCUUCUUGCUGAUCCGGUAAUUUUCAUUUUGUUCCAGGUACACACAAUGCUUGAAUGAUCUCACUAUAGUCCAUCUCGUGCUCUAGAUAUUGCAUAUAGCCAUUACCAGGUAUUCUGUCUAAGCCGUAGUAAGCAUUUAUUGUCGUGAAAUUGACCUCCACUAAUUUUUCGCGAACCCAAACAAUAUUACCGACAACAUCUUUGGCAUUGGCGUAGAAUUCCUUAACAAUUUUUAUGACUGACGGAUCCGGUUUAAAUGUAAAAUUCACCCAUCUUCCACCUCUGGCUAUAAUCCACGCUCAGGAAUUAGCAUUUUACCAGAAAGCCAAUUGUGAUACCUUUCGGACACACUAGCACUUGUGAAUCUCUUUUUGUCAAACUUUGUUGAAGUGAGGAAAGGAAGUAUGAGUUUCACGUGGUGUACGAAGAGAAAAGAGAGGAGUUUUAGAUGAACUAGGAGAGAAAAUAGAAUUUGAUUUGGGUUGAAAGGAGUUAUGCCCGAUUAAGGCUUAAUUUUUUUUUAAAGUCUGGGCAGGUGCGCCUAGGCGCUUGAUUUUGUAUGGGAUUGGCCACCUAAGCGCUUGAAGACAGAACGUGUUGGUCCGGUAUAGCGAUUAAGCGCCUGGAAUGGGCAUGGAGUGAGUGCUUUGACGCUUGGGGAUUGCUGAGUGUUCUGCAUUUGAACGCCUAGGCGCUUGUGCCUGACUUGGUGGAUUAUGUGCAUCUUCCAUGCUUCAAAUCUGCAUAUCAAAGCUUCAAUUCUCAGUUUUUAGAUUACGAGUUAUACUAAAACCCUAAACUAAGAUAAAAUAUGAUUAAUUUCUUUUAUUUUAGUAUGUUAGUUUAGUUAACUCUAUAUUUUAUCUUAGUUUAGGGUUUGAGUAUAAGUUGUAAUCUCCUUGCAAACAAAAACUUAGAAUUGAAGCUUUGAUAUGUAGGUUGGAAGCAUGGAAGACACACAAAUUGAGAAUUGAAGCUUUGAUAUGUAGGUUGGAAACAUGGAAGACGUACAAAAUCCACCAAGUCAGUCCCAAGCGCUUAGGCGCCCAAACCAUGCACAAAACAAGCGACUAGGCGCUCAAAUGCAAAACACUCAACAUUCCCCAAACGCCUUGGCGCUACACCUGACUAACACAUUCUGUCUUCAAGCGCUUAGGCGGUCAAUCCCAUUCAAAAUCAAGCGCCAAGCUCCUGCUAAGACUUUGAAAAAAAAAUUAAACCCUAAUCGGGAAUCACUCCUUUCAACCCAAAUCGAACUAUUUUCUCUCCUAGUUCAUCUAUAACUCCUCUAUUUUCUCUUCCUACACCACGUGAAACUCAUACUUCCCUUUCCUCAUUGUUAGUGCAUCCGAAAGGUAUCAGAAUUGGCUUUCUGGUAAAACGCUAAUUCCUGAGCGUGGAUUAUUGCCAGAGGCAGAAGAUUGGGAGUUACUACAAAUGAUUGAAAACAGAAGAUGGGUAAAUUUUACAGCUCAACCGGAUCCGUCGGUCAUAAAAAUUGUUAAGGAAUUCUACGCCAAUGCAAAAGAUGUUGUCAGUAACAUGGUUUGGGUUCGCGGAAAAUUAGUGGAGGUCAGUUUCACGACAAUAAAUGCUUACUACGGCUUGGACAGAAUACCUAGAAAUGGCUACAUGCAAUAUCUAGAGCACGAGCUGGAUUAUAGUGAGGUCAUUCAAGCAUUGUGAGUACCCGGAACAAAAUGGAAAUUAACAGAUCAGCAAAAAACAGCUUUUUCCUACAUCCGCACUAAGUAACGGGAAAGCAUGACAUGGCUUUAUUUGUGCCAAGUUGAUGUCGUGUAGGCAUAUGAGUGAUGUCAUAAAUCAACGGGCAGCGUUGCUUUUCGCCAUUGUAAAAGGAAAAACUAUAGAUGUGGGUCAGGCUAUACAUGAUUCAAUCGACAGAGCAAUUCAAGGAGGGACUUUAGGUGUAUGCCUCAUCCAUCUUUGAUUAUUGGACUAUGUCAACAAGUUGGAGUAAAGUGGGAAGGCAAGGAAGCUAGACAACCUCCUUUAGCCCCAAUUGACAUUUCGGUUAUAAAAAAAGUACAAGGUAUGUGUUGGGGGUAAACCACACCCGAGAGGAUUAGGUUUCAUUAUUGUGCCUCCAGAUCCUGUUGACGAGCCUAAUGAACAGUCAAAUGACAAUCCUACUGCAGUUGAGAGUUACGUGCCAACACCAAAUUUUUUGAGGAUAUUCGUCGAGAAUUGAGACAUCAAACUAGACGGAUUGACAUGGUGGCUACCCAAAUUCAACAGGGUUUUGACCGGGUGGAUAGGAAGCAGAAUAGACUGGCUCAGCGACAAGUGGAAAUAUAUCAGAACUGUAAUGCAUCAUUCAUAGAUAUGUUCAACCGCAUGUAUCCAGCAGGCGUUCCUUACCAAUUCCGACCAGCUUCAUCCUUGUCUGUGUACCCUCGACUGACUUAUCCCCUGUGAGGAUAAGGUUGAUGAAGAAGAAGUAGAGGAUGUUGACAAGGAGUAAGGCUUCGAUCUUUCAGGGAAGUCUUCAGUACCUAAUUUCUUAUGUUUUUUUUAUAUACAAUGAGGACAUUGCAUAUGUUAAGUUUGGGGGUGCAUUCUUUUAGUUGUAUUGCAAUCAUUUAGUUGCAUUUAUUUAGUAUUUGCAUUCGUUUAUCAUAACUCAUUCAUCUUGUAGUUUUGCAUGUAAUUGUCAUUCUAAUUUCUAAAAAAAUGCAUGAAUCCGAGCAUGUCAAUUAGUACGAGUUUGACUUGGCCAAUGAUGAGAUUGGGAUCACGUAUACAUUUGAACAGUAUUACAACUGAUACAUGAAUGUAGUGUCGUAUCAUGAUGUAAAUCUUAUCCUGUUUGAAACUGAUGUAACAAGAUAGCACGUUAGGUUGAUCAAAUUAGUUUAAAUGAUCGCAUAAUUGUUUCUUGGGGGAAGUCUUGGUUUUAAUGGA
Molecule: long non-coding RNA, 9785 nt
Filed under: Panax ginseng (ginseng)
Lineage: Eukaryota; Viridiplantae; Streptophyta; Magnoliopsida; Apiales; Araliaceae
Description: long non-coding RNA (PGIN_LNC018903)
Source: RNAcentral